CCUACGGGUGGCUGCAGUGGGGAAUACUGGACAAUGGGGGGAACCCUGAUCCAGCCAUGCCGCGUGUGUGAAGAAGGCCCUCGGGUUGUAAAGCACUUUCAGUGAGGAAGAACGCCUGGUGGUUAAUACCCAUCAGGAAAGACAUCACUCACAGAAGAAGCACCGGCUAACUCCGUGCCAGCAGCCGCGGUAAUACGGAGGGUGCGAGCGUUAAUCGGAAUUACUGGGCGUAAAGCGCGCGUAGGUGGCUUGAUAAGCCGGUUGUGAAAGCCCCGGGCUCAACCUGGGAACGGCAUCCGGAACUGUCAAGCUAGAGUGCAGGAGAGGAAGGUAGAAUUCCCGGUGUAGCGGUGAAAUGCGUAGAGAUCGGGAGGAAUACCAGUGGCGAAGGCGGCCUUCUGGACUGACACUGACACUGAGGUGCGAAAGCGUGGGUAGCAAACAGGAUUAGAUACCCUGGUAGUC
This 465-nucleotide ribosomal RNA is filed under the name Vreelandella stevensii. RNAcentral describes it as "partial 16S ribosomal RNA". It matches the Rfam family "Bacterial small subunit ribosomal RNA", at positions 338 to 795 of the family's 1533-position model. Lineage: Bacteria; Pseudomonadati; Pseudomonadota; Gammaproteobacteria; Oceanospirillales; Halomonadaceae. The record is from RNAcentral.